AUGAACGCUGGCGGUAUGCUUAACACAUGCAAGUCGAACGAGUGGCGGACGGGUGAGUAACGCGUGAGAAUCUGGCUCUAGGUCUGGGACAACCACUGGAAACGGUGGCUAAUACCGGAUGUGCCGGGUGAAAGGUUAACUGCCUAGAGAUGAGCUCGCGUCUGAUUAGCUAGUUGGAAGUGUAAUGGACUCCCAAGGCGACGAUCAGUAGCUGGUCUGAGAGGACGAUCAGCCACACUGGGACUGAGACACGGCCCAGACUCCUACGGGAGGCAGCAGUGGGGAAUUUUCCGCAAUGGGCGAAAGCCUGACGGAGCAAUACCGCGUGAGGGAGGAAGGCUCUUGGGUCGUAAACCUCUUUUCUCAGGGAAGAACACAAUGACGGUACCUGAGGAAUAAGCAUCGGCUAACUCCGUGCCAGCAGCCGCGGUAAUACGGAGGAUGCAAGCGUUAUCCGGAAUGAUUGGGCGUAAAGCGUCCGCAGGUGGCAAUGUAAGUCUGCUGUUAAAGAGUCUAGCUCAACUAGAUAAAAGCAGUGGAAACUACAUAGCUAGAGUACGUUCGGGGCAGAGGGAAUUCCUGGUGUAGCGGUGAAAUGCGUAGAGAUCAGGAAGAACACCGGUGGCGAAGGCGCUCUGCUAGGCCGUAACUGACACUGAGGGACGAAAGCUAGGGGAGCGAAUGGGAUUAGAUACCCCAGUAGUCCUAGCCGUAAACGAUGGAUACUAGGCGUGGCUUGUAUCGACCCGAGCCGUGCCGUAGCUAACGCGUUAAGUAUCCCGCCUGGGGAGUACGCCGGCCACGGUGAAACUCAAAGGAAUUGACGGGGGCCCGCACAAGCGGUGGAGUAUGUGGUUUAAUUCGAUGCAACGCGAAGAACCUUACCAAGGCUUGACAUGUCGCGAAUCUUCUUGAAAGGGAAGAGUGCCUUCGGGAGCGCGAACACAGGUGGUGCAUGGCUGUCGUCAGCUCGUGUCGUGAGAUGUUGGGUUAAGUCCCGCAACGAGCGCAACCCUCGUUUUUAGUUGCCAGCAUUAAGUUGGGCACUCUAGAGAGACUGCCGGUGACAAACCGGAGGAAGGUGGGGAUGACGUCAAGUCAGCAUGCCCCUUACGCCUUGGGCUACACACGUACUACAAUGCUCCGGACAGAGGGCAGCAAGCAUGCGAAUGCAAGCAAAUCCCGUAAACCGGAGCUCAGUUCAGAUCGCAGGCUGCAACUCGCCUGCGUGAAGGAGGAAUCGCUAGUAAUUGCAGGUCAGCAUACUGCAGUGAAUUCGUUCCCGGGCCUUGUACACACCGCCCGUCACACCAUGGAAGGUGGUAGUGCCCGAAGUCAUUACUCCAACCAUUCGUGGAGGAGGAUGCCUAAGGCAGGACUGGUGACUGGGGUGAAGUCGUAACAAGGUAGCCGUACCGGAAGGUGCGGCUGGAUCACCUCCUU
Molecule: ribosomal RNA, 1443 nt
Filed under: Nostoc sp. 'Helianobakht'
Lineage: Bacteria; Bacillati; Cyanobacteriota; Cyanophyceae; Nostocales; Nostocaceae
Also listed under: 2 other names
Description: bacterial SSU rRNA
Rfam family: Bacterial small subunit ribosomal RNA
Source: RNAcentral